AGCUCCAAUAGCGUAUAUUUAAGUUGUUGCAGUUAAAAAGCUCGUAGUUGGAUUUCGGUUAAGAGCGACCGGUCCGCCGUUUGGUGUGCACUGGUUGGUUUUAACUUCCUGUAGAGGACGUGCUCUGGGCUUAACGGUCUGGACUCGGAGUCUACGUGGUUACUUUGAAAAAAUUAGAGUGUUCAAAGCGGGCUUACGCUUGAAUAUUUCAGCAUGGAAUAACACUAUAGGACUCCUGUCCUAUUUCGUUGGUCUCGGGACGGGAGUAAUGAUUAAGAGGAACAGUUGGGGGCAUUCGUAUUUCAUUGUCAGAGGUGAAAUUCUUGGAUUUAUGAAAGACGAACUUCUGCGAAAGCAUUUGCCAAGGAUGUUUUCAUUA
RNAcentral lists this ribosomal RNA (379 nucleotides) under Micromonas sp. Its description in RNAcentral is "SSU rRNA". It matches the Rfam family "Eukaryotic small subunit ribosomal RNA", at positions 587 to 975 of the family's 1831-position model. RNAcentral also lists the same sequence under 1 other name. The record is from RNAcentral. Lineage: Eukaryota; Viridiplantae; Chlorophyta; Mamiellophyceae; Mamiellales; Mamiellaceae.